This 251-nucleotide ribosomal RNA is filed under the name uncultured bacterium. Its description in RNAcentral is "partial 16S ribosomal RNA". It matches the Rfam family "Bacterial small subunit ribosomal RNA", at positions 1249 to 1500 of the family's 1533-position model. The record is from RNAcentral.
ACAAGACAGAGAUGUGGAGCGAAACUCAAAAAGUAAGUCUCAGUUCGGAUUGAAGGCUGAAAUUCGCCUUCAUGAAGCCGGAAUUGCUAGUAAUGGCAGGUCAGCAUACUGCCGUGAAUACGUUCCCGGGCCUUGUACACACCGCCCGUCACACCAUGAGAGUUGGGAAUACCCGAAGCCUGUGAGCUAACGUUAAGAGGCAGCAGUCGAAGGUAGAAUCAAUGAUUGGGGUGAAGUCGUAACAAGGUACC